This 72-nucleotide transfer RNA is filed under the name Camelus bactrianus (Bactrian camel). It matches the Rfam family "tRNA". From Rfam's summary of the family: Transfer RNA (tRNA) molecules are approximately 80 nucleotides in length. RNAcentral also lists the same sequence under 2 other names. The record is from Rfam by way of RNAcentral. Lineage: Eukaryota; Metazoa; Chordata; Mammalia; Artiodactyla; Camelidae.
GAGGGUGUAGCUCAGUGGUAGAGCACAUGCUUAGCUUGCACGAGCUCCUGGGUUCAAUCCCCAGUACCUCCC